Molecule: ribosomal RNA, 250 nt
Filed under: uncultured bacterium
Lineage: Bacteria
Description: partial 16S ribosomal RNA
Rfam family: Bacterial small subunit ribosomal RNA
Source: RNAcentral
UACGGAGGGUGCAAGCGUUAAUCGGAAUUACUGGGCGUAAAGCGUGCGUAGGCGGUGAGUUAAGUCUGCUGUGAAAUCCCUGGGCUCAACCUGGGAAUGGCGGUGGAUACUGGCUUGCUGGAGUACGGCAGAGGAAGGUGGAAUUCCCGGUGUAGCGGUGAAAUGCGUAGAGAUCGGGAGGAACAUCAGUGGCGAAGGCGACCUUCUGGGCCAGUACUGACGCUGAGGCACGAAAGCGUGGGGAGCAAAC